This 75-nucleotide transfer RNA is filed under the name Choreocolax polysiphoniae. RNAcentral describes it as "tRNA-Met". It matches the Rfam family "tRNA". From Rfam's summary of the family: Transfer RNA (tRNA) molecules are approximately 80 nucleotides in length. Their secondary structure includes four short double-helical elements and three loops (D, anti-codon, and T loops). Lineage: Eukaryota; Rhodophyta; Florideophyceae; Gigartinales; Choreocolacaceae. The record is from RNAcentral.
AAUGAGAUAGUUUAAUUAGGUUAGAACAUUAGAAUCAUAAUCUAAAAAUUAUAGGUUCAAUUCCUAUUCUCAUUA